Salvia splendens (bonfire salvia) is the source of this 1594-nucleotide long non-coding RNA. RefSeq lists it as uncharacterized. NCBI's taxonomy places the organism in Eukaryota, Viridiplantae, Streptophyta, Magnoliopsida, Lamiales, Lamiaceae. The transcript has 3 exons. The record is from RefSeq and is a predicted model, not a curated record.
UGUAAGUAUCGUAGGAUUUCUGUUGUAUAUCUUAUAUUUCACUGUGUACAAUGCACUCCCUUUUAUAGUUGUAAAUACAAGAUAAAUAUGGAAAAGAUCAAUUUAUUCUAAUUGUAUCAAUUCCCUAUUGAUUUGAUUCUUCUUCCUAGAAUAGAGUGGUUUAUGCUUCUUUCCUUUCUUGGUGUGUAGGAUAUUCCCUUUUCCUUUCUUGACACAGAAUCCCCAAAAUCGAAAUUUCGUCGCCCUUCUUCUCCCCGCGAUUUCUACUCCCGACGGGUUGCCGGAGCUUCGCCGGCAUUUUACCCUCUGUGAAUUCUCCUUCCGGCGAGCUCCAUCUCAAAUUCCAAUCGGAACUCUCGAGUCGAGGUAGCGUCUGGAAAGGAACCCUAGAUCGAGGCGAACUCGGCGGCGCCUCUCCCUUCGCCGUCCGUCGGUCACCGCUGCCGCCAAGCUGGCUGUCCGUUUGAAGCACCGCGGCCCGCUGCCGCUGCCUCUUGUCCCUUCGUUGCUGGUGUCCCACCGUGGGCAAGGAGAGGAAGCUUCGUCUCUCUCUCUGCACCCACAGCUCCACUCCGCCCGCACCGCUGGCCCUCCGUCGAGCUGCGGUUCCGCUAGCUGCGAUCCCAGCCGGCGUCGCCUGGAUGCGCCGCCAAGGCAGCCACCGUCCACCAAUCGGCCCUAAAGCUAAGUCUCUGAACUCUCAUUAUCUAGCUCGCAUCUAUCCCGUUGAUUAGGUGUACAAUGGAUGAAGCUUGGUAUUAGGGAUUAUAGCUAUUCACAAAACAUGGAAAGGAAAGCAUGAGGACAAGCUAUGAUUUUUCGUUCUGUUUGGGGGUUGCUCUUGCUUGGUGGCUUAUAUCCUAAUUUAAGAUACACAGUACUGUUGUUGCCUACAAAUUAUCAUGUUGCCUGCUGUUAUGGUGUUGAUAAAAUGGUUGUGUGUGUGUUCACAUGGAUGAAAAGGAGUGAUAAGGUGAGUUGUGAUGAUUUACAUGUUGUGGUGAAGGGCUAAAAGGAAGGAAAGGGUUCUUGCUUGCUCACUGCCCCUUUUUCCCUAUUGUUUAUUUAAAGUUAAAAAUAGUGAUGAUAAUAAUAAUCUCUGGUUUUAAAUUAAUUAAUCCAAUCAAAUAUAUGUCUAAAUUAAACCUAUGAUCCAAUGCUUGAUUGAUUUGCUUAUUAUGUUAUAGGCAAUAGUUGAGGCCAAUUAAAUAACUAAAUCCGACUAGAUGAAAAAUCGAACAUUUUUUAACUAAGAGGGAGUGUUAGAGCUUGAUAAAGGGCUGCUGGAAACAGAUGCAAGAGUGGUCAAGCUUGAGGAAGAGCUACUGGAAAUAGAGGAAACGGACAAGUAAAAGAUUGUUUGUAAAUUCAUUAACAAUUUGAGCCCGGUGUGAUAAAUUUUCUUUGUCCUGAAGAGCAGGAACACAUGAUGUUGGUGCGAAGAUGAAGUUAACCAAGUAUUCUAGUGCGGAUACAAUAAGGAGCUUCUAAGAGAAAACCUAAGUGAAACAUAAAUUGUAUAGUCAUUUAGAACCUUUUUUGUACCUUUUUAUUUAAUAUUGUAUACUUUGAUUUCAUGAAAACUAUUACAUAA